UCUGAGGAUCCCCGAGAGGACCGGUUUGUUCAGGGCCCCCUGAGGUUCGUGGUCGGGAGCGACUUUCAAGGGCUGGGGGGUGCUGGGCAGGCCUGAGAGGAUCUGACGGUUGGAGAGAUGACUUUUGGGGACCUGAAGGUUGGCGGGGGGGGGGCAGGAGGGUCCGACCAUCCAGGUGGCCCAGACCAUCCAGUUAGGGUUGGGAUGGGCGGCCCCACAGAUAUGGGGGUGCCUGGAGAGGGGUGCUGGGGGGCCCCGAGAGCGGCUCACCCUGGCAGCCCGCGACGAGUAGGGGUCCUCGAAGAGCGCCCACACACGGGGCUGCCAGCGGCGCCACCACGUGCCGCCCGCGCCGCCCGCGCCCCCUGGCGGGCCCCGGCGCCGCCGCCCGAGUCCUGGAAGCAGAGGCGCUUGAGCUCGCCGCCCGCGCCAUCCAGGCCGCCGCCGCCCGCGCCCGCCUCGUCGUCCAGGCCCGUGUCGUGCGCUCCCGCGGCAGCGGCAUUGGCGGCGCCCGCAGGGUCCGGGGCCUCGAAGGAGUCGAGCGCCUCCUCCGCGUCGCGGUGCUGCCGGUAGGUCAUCCAGCAGCAGGCCUCCACGUCGGUCUCGUCGAUGCCCCAGAAGCCCAGCUCCUCCUCGAAGAGCGGCCCGCACACGUCGGCCGGGCAGUGCAGCUUGCCCGUGCGGUAGUAGUUGAGCACGUAGGCGAAGACGCCCGGGUGCCGGUCGAAGAAGAACUCGUCUGCGCCGGGGUCGUAGUCGAAGCGCGCGGCCGCCUCGGGCUCCGUCAGGCCGGCCAGCCGCGUACCCGGCAGGGUGCGCAGCGUCGAGCGGUACGUCUCAUGGCGCACGCCGCCCACGUUGAUCACGAUCUUGCCGCUGUCGCCACCGCCGCCGCCGUGCCGCCCCAUGGCCGCCGCUGGCAGCCCGGGGCAUGGCUCGGCGCGGGGGUCCCCGGGCCCUCGGGGUGCCUGGGGGCCCGCCGGGGAUGCGGCUGGGCCGGGCUGCGCAGGCUGCAGCGGCGGCGGCGGUGGCGGGGACAGCGGCGGCGGGGACUCGGGCUGCUGCGGUGGUGGCGCCGGCUGCUGCUUGCUGGCCCCCUGGCGCCGGGGGAAGGACGAGACGCAGACUGAGCUCAGCAUUGGACAGGGGGCGGGCCGGAGGGGGCAGGGCAGAGAGGGGCGGGGCUCGGGAGGAGAGAUGGACGUGAUUGGGUGGGAGGAGGCGAUGACUAGGAGGGCCGGGCCUGGAGGGUGCAGAGACUGACGCGAUUGGGUGGGAAAAGGCGAUAGAAUGGGGGGGUGGGGCCUCCGUGGGAGAGGAUCAGAGAUGAUUGGCCUGAGGGGUGAGUGGGUGUGGCUGAGGUCUGGAAGGGGGGGCUGGGUCUCUAAUACAGCCUGAAAGGGGGGGCACGAGUGAGGCUCCCCAAUUGGAUGUUUCGGGUGAAGGGCGGGGCGUCAAAGGGUCGCUAACGCUAUCUGGGCGAAACAGGGGAGGGAGAAAGGAGAAAGCGGAGCGAGGUAAGUGAAAGAGACCUGAGAGAAGCAGAAAAAAAGGGGAGCCGGGCUGGCCGGGAAGGUAAGGGCCACGAUGAGAGAAGCUGAUCGGAUUGCACUAAGAAGGGGCCCUAGGGGAGUAAGUUUGCACACCUGGACCUAAAGCCCUGGCAGACAGGACCGUGUGCAGGGGCAGGGGGAGAGGACGGAGUCGAGCUAACAUUGGACGGAUCAGAGCCGAGGACAGUAGAAGGGGCACUGAUUGGACUGGGACAAGGAAGGCGGGACUGAGCCAGGGGCGGGAACUAUGGACAGAAUGGGGCCAGGCCGGACUGAAAAGGGCCACGACUAAGGGGAAGAGACUGAGAUCCGGACCCCAAUCCAGGGAAUGAUCCUCGGGCAGCCCUCAAGCCUCUGAUGGGACCCACCAGGGCCAAGGAAAGACCUGGGCACCACCUGUCCAUGCCCCAAAUUCUGGUGUGCCCCAGGCAGAAGCGGGCAACCCUGAGACCACCCCACCCCAGCUUUCCACUAUCGGACUGCAGCCACACAGGAGAUCAAGUGACCAAAUCAGCGUUCUAGCAGAGGUCAGACGGUAUGCAUAAAGUGAGGGUUUGGUGGGGAGAAAGGAGCUGGAAAGGGGAAGACUAUGGGAUGAGAUUUGGGAUUCAAGACUACAGAGGGAGGGGGAGCCCGCCGCAGGGAGCAGUAAUAGGAUGGCCCAGGUUCCCUGGGCCCUGGGAAAUUUGGACGCUGUCACCUCUUAUGGCCUUGCCGGACCUCACCAGGCUACGUGGGGGAUCUGUGAGUCUCGAGUCUCCGCCUGUCCCUUGGAGGGGAUUUUGGGAGACAAGAUGGACCCUGAGUUACAGGACACCCAGCUAUGCUCACAGAGGAGGACACGGACUCCAUGCUUGGCAACAGACACCAGGAGAGGAAAAGCUAAUGCCUGUCCACUUCUUCUAAUCUUUCCCCAGCCCUGCUCCCCCAAUCUAUCUUUUCCCGGACACUCAAAGCACAGAAUUCCUGAAAGCUCCGAACUCCCAGCUCUGCCAUCUCUGGAACUCCUUUCCAAUCCUCCCUCCCUCCUUCCUCAGGGCCCGGCGAUUGGGGAUGGGUCUUCCCCUCCCUGAUUUCCAAGACCUCUAUUCUCAUCGGUUCCAAAUCCAGCAAAGGGAGUCUCACUAAAGCUGAAAAUGUGAGGACUCGCCGCCUAAGAUCUUUGAUUGCUAAGACCUCCAAAUACCUGGGUGCCCCAAAGCGUACAACCGAGCGGAGAUCUCUCCGCUGUCAUUUUUGGGUCCCAUCUCCCAGUCCCCGCCUCCAUAACUGGGAUUCGAGUUGUCUUACGCCCCCCGCGGACCUGAACCUCCGCCCCCGCCCCCGUACUCACCCCUAGUCGA
Long non-coding RNA from Heterocephalus glaber (naked mole-rat), 2896 nucleotides. Lineage: Eukaryota; Metazoa; Chordata; Mammalia; Rodentia; Bathyergidae. The record is from Ensembl.